GAGGAACGCUGGCGGCGUGCCUAAUACAUGCAAGUCGAGCGAACGGACGAGAAGCUUGCUUCUCUGAUGUUAGCGGCGGACGGGUGAGUAACACGUGGAUAACCUACCUAUAAGACUGGGAUAACUUCGGGAAACCGGAGCUAAUACCGGAUGAUAUUUUGAACCGCAUGGUUCAAAAGUGAAAGACGGUCUUGCUGUCACUUAUAGAUGUAUCCGCGCUGCAUUAGCUAGUUGGUAAGGUAACGGCUUACCAAGGCAACGAUGCAUAGCCGACCUGAGAGGGUGAUCGGCCACACUGGAACUGAGACACGGCCCAGACUCCUACGGGAGGCAGCAGUAGGGAAUCUUCCGCAAUGGGCGAAAGCCUGACGGAGCAACGCCGCGUGAGUGAUGAAGGUCUUCGGAUCGUAAAACUCUGUUAUUAGGGAAGAACAUAUGUGUAAGUAACUGUGCACAUCUUGACGGUACCUAAUCAGAAAGCCACGGCUAACUACGUG
This 497-nucleotide ribosomal RNA is filed under the name uncultured bacterium. RNAcentral's name for it is "partial 16S ribosomal RNA". It matches the Rfam family "Bacterial small subunit ribosomal RNA", at positions 28 to 507 of the family's 1533-position model. The record is from RNAcentral.